UUAGUUGUAAUUAUUAAAUCAAAAUUAGUAUUAGUUAAGUUCUUAAAAAUUAAAGAUUUUGGCGGUAUUUUAGUCUUUUCAGAGGAAUCUGUCCUAUAAUUGAUAAUCCACGAUUAAUUAAACUUUAUUUAUUAGUUUGUAUACCAUCGUAGAAAGAUAUUUUAUAAGAAGUUUAAUAUUUAUUUUUUAUAAAAAAUAAAAUCAGAUCAAGGUGCAGUUUAUAAUAAAGAAGAGAUGGAUUACAAUAUAUUUUAUAUGUGAAUUAAUUUAUUUAAAAUUAUUAUGAAAAUGGAUUUGAAAGUAAUUAAUUAUAUAUUUUUUUAAUGAUUUUAGCUCUAAAAUAUGU
This 346-nucleotide ribosomal RNA is filed under the name Endomychus gorhami. RNAcentral's name for it is "partial 12S ribosomal RNA". The record is from RNAcentral. Lineage: Eukaryota; Metazoa; Arthropoda; Insecta; Coleoptera; Endomychidae.